AUAGAGACUCAGAGCUGCAUAUCAAUAAGCGGAGGAAAAGAAACUAACAAGGAUUCCCUUAGUAACGGCGAGUGAAGCGGGAAGAGCUCAAAUUUGAAAUCUUCAAGGUUUUACCUUGACGAAUUGUAGUUUAAAGAAGUGUUUUCUGUUGAAGUUUUGGUAAAAGUUCUUUGGAAUAGGACAUCAUAGAGGGUGAGAAUCCCGUAUUUGACCGUUACUUUCCAGCUUUGUGAUACACUUUCAAAGAGUCGGAUUGUUUGGGAAUGCAGUCCAAAAUGGGUGGUAAAUUUCAUCUAAAGCUAAAUACUGGCGAGAGACCGAUAGCGAACAAGUACCGUGAGGGAAAGAUGAAAAGAACUUUGAAAAGAGAAUUAAACAGUACGUGAAAUUGUCAAAAGGGAAGCGUUUGACACCAGUGUUGUUUUCUCGAAAGUCAAUUAAAAAUGACAGGAUUUUGUGUUGUAUUGACUUUAUCAGCUUUCUGCACUUUUUUCUUGUCUUUUUUAAUGCACUUUUCGUUUAACAAGUCAACAUCAAUUUCUUUUGCUGUAAAAGGGUCAUUGGAAGGUGGCUUUCUUUUCGGAGAAAGUGUUUAUAGCCUUUGGCCUCUGCAGUCGGAGAGAUUGAGGUCUGCAGCGUAGAUCCUUCGGGGUUAGAUACAUUUGUGCUAAGUUAUAGCCUUUCAUAGACAACUUGUUGACUAUGAUCAGUCAUGUAGCUUACUCGCUUAUGCUAUUUUACCUACGCUUAGGAUGUUGAUAUGCAUGACUGAUAU
RNAcentral lists this ribosomal RNA (775 nucleotides) under uncultured Neocallimastigales. Its description in RNAcentral is "partial large subunit ribosomal RNA". It matches the Rfam family "Eukaryotic large subunit ribosomal RNA", at positions 23 to 635 of the family's 3401-position model. Lineage: Eukaryota; Fungi; Neocallimastigomycota; Neocallimastigomycetes; Neocallimastigales. The record is from RNAcentral.